RNAcentral lists this ribosomal RNA (608 nucleotides) under uncultured Lactobacillus sp. Its description in RNAcentral is "bacterial SSU rRNA". It matches the Rfam family "Bacterial small subunit ribosomal RNA", at positions 58 to 643 of the family's 1533-position model. The record is from RNAcentral. Lineage: Bacteria; Bacillati; Bacillota; Bacilli; Lactobacillales; Lactobacillaceae.
CAGUUCGAACGAGCUUCCGUUGAAUGACGUGCUUGCACUGAUUUCACAAUGAAGCGAGUGGCGAACUGGUGAGUAACACGUGGGAAAUCUGCCAGAAGCAGGGGAUAACACUUGGAAACAGGUGCUAAUACCGUAUACAACAAAAUCCGCAUGGAUUUUGUUUGAAAGGUGGCUUCGGCUAUCCUUCUGGAUGAUCCCGCGGCGUAUUAGUUAGUUGGUGAGGUAAAGCCCACCAAGACGAUGAUACGUAGCCGACCUGAGAGGGUAAUCGGCACAUUGGGACUGAGACACGGCCCAAACUCCUACGGGAGGCAGCAGAGGGAAUCUUCCACAAUGGACGAAAGUCUGAUGGAGCAAUGCCGCUGAGUGAAGAAGGGUUUCGGCUCGUAAAACUCUGUUGUUAAAGAAGACACCUUUGAGAGUAACUGUUCAAGGGUUGACGGUAUUUAACCAGAAGCCACGGCUAACUACGUGCCAGCAGCCGCGGUAAUACUUAGGUGGAAGCGUUGUCCGGAUUUAUUGGGGCGUAAAGCGAGCGCAGGCGGUUUUUAAGUCUGAUGUGAAAGCCUUCGGCUUAACCGGAGAAGUGCAUGGAAACUGGGAGACUU